CCCUUAGACGUUCUGGGCCGCACGCGCGCUACACUGACAAAUGCAACGAGCUACUCUUCACCGAAAGGUGUGGGUAAUCUUUUGAAACUUUGUCGUGCUGGGGAUAGAUCCUUGCAAUUUUUGAUCUUAAACGAGGAAUUCCUAGUAAGCGCAAGUCAUCAACUUGCGUUGAUUACGUCCCUGCCCUUUGUACACACCGCCCGUCGCUACUACCGAUUGAAUGGUUUAGUGAGGCCUUCGGAUCCGCGACUCGUUUGUGGAGAAGUUGGACAAACUCAGUCAUUUAGAGGAAGUAAAAGUCGUAACA
Molecule: ribosomal RNA, 307 nt
Filed under: uncultured eukaryote
Lineage: Eukaryota
Description: partial 18S ribosomal RNA
Rfam family: Eukaryotic small subunit ribosomal RNA
Source: RNAcentral